Long non-coding RNA from Scophthalmus maximus (turbot), 498 nucleotides. RefSeq lists it as uncharacterized. The transcript has 3 exons. Lineage: Eukaryota; Metazoa; Chordata; Actinopteri; Pleuronectiformes; Scophthalmidae. The record is from RefSeq and is a predicted model, not a curated record.
UUGUACUUCACCAAAAUCGAUGGAAACAACACUCGUUGCCACAAGUGUAACAAAUGUUUUGCAAGUAAAGGUGUUAAGACAAGCGAUCUGCUAGUCCCAGUCAGGACUGUUCAAGAUGGCGCUGCGUAUGGCUGCCUCAAGACAACAGCUGCAGCUAGUGGGAGGAGACUGAGGAGAGGGUGAAUGAGUUCCACCUCACUGUAACCCACUUCAUAGUGAAAGACCUACAACCCUUUACAACAGUAGAGUCCAAGAGCUUUAGGGGGCAGACAUCCCCCUCUGGGUCGCCAAUUCCCCGGUGUCAUGGCGACCAGGAGAUCUGGCCUGUUUUACCUGGUUCUCUACCUGGCACCAGGGAAAAAGGAAUCAGUAGCGGGCAGGACUGUAUUUAUCCUUAUGUUUGUUAAUUUUAUUAUUUAAGAGGCAUCUUUUUUUGAGUGUUAUUUCAUGUAUUAGGAAUUGAAUGAAUUGUUCUUAUUUAUUUAUUUUAACGAUGUA